RNAcentral lists this ribosomal RNA (932 nucleotides) under Halomonas caseinilytica. RNAcentral's name for it is "bacterial SSU rRNA". It matches the Rfam family "Bacterial small subunit ribosomal RNA", at positions 56 to 982 of the family's 1533-position model. Lineage: Bacteria; Pseudomonadati; Pseudomonadota; Gammaproteobacteria; Oceanospirillales; Halomonadaceae. The record is from RNAcentral.
UGCAGUCGAGCGGACACGAUCCUAGCUUGCUAGGAGGCGUCGAGCGGCGGACGGGUGAGUAAUGCAUAGGAAUCUGCCCGAUAGUGGGGGAUAACCUGAGGAAACUCAGGCUAAUACCGCAUACGUCCUACGGGAGAAAGCAGGGGCUCUUCGGACCUUGCGCUAUCGGAUGAGCUUAUGUCGGAUUAGCUGGUUGGUGAGGUAACGGCUCACCAAGGCGACGAUCCGUAGCUGGUCUGAGAGGAUGAUCAGCCACAUCGGGACUGAGACACGGCCCGAACUCCUACGGGAGGCAGCAGUGGGGAAUAUUGGACAAUGGGGGCAACCCUGAUCCAGCCAUGCCGCGUGUGUGAAGAAGGCCCUCGGGUUGUAAAGCACUUUCAGUGAGGAAGAGGGCUUGUCGGUUAAUACCCGGCAAGGGAGACAUCACUCACAGAAGAAGCACCGGCUAACUCCGUGCCAGCAGCCGCGGUAAUACGGAGGGUGCGAGCGUUAAUCGGAAUUACUGGGCGUAAAGCGUGCGUAGGCGGCUUGAUAAGCCGGUUGUGAAAGCCCCGGGCUCAACCUGGGAACGGCAUCCGGAACUGUCAGGCUAGAGUGCAGGAGAGGAAGGUAGAAUUCCCGGUGUAGCGGUGAAAUGCGUAGAGAUCGGGAGGAAUACCAGUGGCGAAGGCGGCCUUCUGGACUGACACUGACGCUGAGGUACGAAAGCGUGGGUAGCAAACAGGAUUAGAUACCCUGGUAGUCCACGCCGUAAACGAUGUCGACUAGCCGUUGGGGUCCUCGAGACCUUUGUGGCGCAGUUAACGCACUAAGUCGACCGCCUGGGGAGUACGGCCGCAAGGUUAAAACUCAAAUGAAUUGACGGGGGCCCGCACAAGCGGUGGAGCAUGUGGUUUAAUUCGAUGCAACGCGAGAUCUUACCUACUCUU